UACGGAGGGCGCGAGCGUUAUUCGGAAUUACUGGGCGUAAAGCGCGCGUAGGCGGCUUGAUAAGCCGGCUGUGAAAGCCCCGGGCUCAACCUGGGACCGGCAUCCGGAACUGUCAGGCUAGAGUGCAGGAGAGGAAGGUAGAAUUCCCGGUGUAGCGGUGAAAUGCGUAGAGAUCGGGAGGAAUACCAGUGGCGAAGGCGGCCUUCUGGACUGACACUGGCGCUGAGGUGCGAGAGCGUGGGUAGCAAACAGG
Molecule: unclassified non-coding RNA, 253 nt
Filed under: uncultured Halomonadaceae bacterium
Lineage: Bacteria; Pseudomonadati; Pseudomonadota; Gammaproteobacteria; Oceanospirillales; Halomonadaceae
Description: contains 16S-23S intergenic spacer region
Rfam family: Bacterial small subunit ribosomal RNA
Source: RNAcentral